Molecule: ribosomal RNA, 923 nt
Filed under: Escherichia coli
Lineage: Bacteria; Pseudomonadati; Pseudomonadota; Gammaproteobacteria; Enterobacterales; Enterobacteriaceae
Description: partial 23S ribosomal RNA
Rfam family: Bacterial large subunit ribosomal RNA
Source: RNAcentral
UGUAUAAUGGGUCAGCGACUUAUAUUCUGUAGCAAGGUUAACCGAAUAGGGGAGCCGAAGGGAAACCGAGUCUUAACUGGGCGUUAAGUUGCAGGGUAUAGACCCGAAACCCGGUGAUCUAGCCAUGGGCAGGUUGAAGGUUGGGUAACACUAACUGGAGGACCGAACCGACUAAUGUUGAAAAAUUAGCGGAUGACUUGUGGCUGGGGGUGAAAGGCCAAUCAAACCGGGAGAUAGCUGGUUCUCCCCGAAAGCUAUUUAGGUAGCGCCUCGUGAAUUCAUCUCCGGGGGUAGAGCACUGUUUCGGCAAGGGGGUCAUCCCGACUUACCAACCCGAUGCAAACUGCGAAUACCGGAGAAUGUUAUCACGGGAGACACACGGCGGGUGCUAACGUCCGUCGUGAAGAGGGAAACAACCCAGACCGCCAGCUAAGGUCCCAAAGUCAUGGUUAAGUGGGAAACGAUGUGGGAAGGCCCAGACAGCCAGGAUGUUGGCUUAGAAGCAGCCAUCAUUUAAAGAAAGCGUAAUAGCUCACUGGUCGAGUCGGCCUGCGCGGAAGAUGUAACGGGGCUAAACCAUGCACCGAAGCUGCGGCAGCGACACUAUGUGUUGUUGGGUAGGGGAGCGUUCUGUAAGCCUGUGAAGGUGUACUGUGAGGUAUGCUGGAGGUAUCAGAAGUGCGAAUGCUGACAUAAGUAACGAUAAAGCGGGUGAAAAGCCCGCUCGCCGGAAGACCAAGGGUUCCUGUCCAACGUUAAUCGGGGCAGGGUGAGUCGACCCCUAAGGCGAGGCCGAAAGGCGUAGUCGAUGGGAAACAGGUUAAUAUUCCUGUACUUGGUGUUACUGCGAAGGGGGGACGGAGAAGGCUAUGUUGGCCGGGCGACGGUUGUCCCGGUUUAAGCGUGUAGGCUGAUUUUCCAGG